This 558-nucleotide long non-coding RNA is filed under the name Anas platyrhynchos platyrhynchos (common mallard). Its description in RNAcentral is "lncRNA (ENSAPLG00000024257.1)". Lineage: Eukaryota; Metazoa; Chordata; Aves; Anseriformes; Anatidae. The record is from RNAcentral.
GCCAAAUGAAACAAGUCACUUCUGCAAGGAGUUUGUAUGACUUUCCAAAUGAGGAAAAAGUCAAAAUCUCAGGGACUGUGACAUGAUUGCUACAGAAGAUGAAGAAAACAUGGCCCAGCAACCAGCUUCAUGAGGAAAGAGGACCACAGCUUUCCUUCAGAAAGCAUCAGGCUUCUGAAAUCCCAACAUUCAUUCAAGUGGAUGUAUUAGAAGAAAUGGUGAUAUGUAAGGCAUCUACUCACUGGGAUCUUACCCCUCGUUGCAAAGCAGCCACAUGGUUUGGAGAAUGUCCAGUCUUAAAAUUAAUGGCCUGACAGCAUUUGGUUGUGUUCCUGAGAUGUGAGUCUUUGUGCUAAGAAGAAAUUACAUCCAGCCGGGACGUGUUCCAACACUGACAACAGCCCUGGGAUCAAUGCUGUAAUGGCUUUUGGCUCUCACUUCCCUUGAACGUGGCUUGUGUAAGCUCAAAGACCAUGUUAAACACAAGGCAGUCCAGUACGUUAAGCUGGCUUUGAAAUGAAUCAAAUGUAAAUGAAUAAAUCAAAGUAGCAUGUUGCA